CCCUUAGAUGUUCUGGGCCGCACGCGUGCUACACUGAGUGGAUCAGCGGGUCAGGUUGCGCGAAAGUGUUUCCUAAUCUUGAAAUCCGCUCGUGAUGGGGAUUGACGGUUGCAAUUUUCCGUCAUGAACGAGGAAUACCUUGUAAGCGCGGGUCAUCAUCCCGCGCUGAAUACGUCCCUGCCCUUUGUACACACCGCCCGUCGCUCCUACCGAUUGAACGUGCUGGUGAAGCGUUAGGACUGGCUCUCGGGGCAGGUCUCCUGCCCCUUGAAUCGGGAAUUUCGUUGAACCCUCCCGUUUAGAGGAAGGAGAAGUCGUAACA
Molecule: ribosomal RNA, 322 nt
Filed under: uncultured eukaryote
Lineage: Eukaryota
Description: partial 18S ribosomal RNA
Rfam family: Eukaryotic small subunit ribosomal RNA
Source: RNAcentral